RNAcentral lists this ribosomal RNA (2112 nucleotides) under Pseudomonas aeruginosa. RNAcentral's name for it is "bacterial LSU rRNA". It matches the Rfam family "Bacterial large subunit ribosomal RNA", at positions 640 to 2740 of the family's 2925-position model. Lineage: Bacteria; Pseudomonadati; Pseudomonadota; Gammaproteobacteria; Pseudomonadales; Pseudomonadaceae. The record is from RNAcentral.
GCGAGCUUAACCGUAUAGGGUAGGCGUAGCGAAAGCGAGUCUUAAUAGGGCGUUUAGUCGCUGGGUAUAGACCCGAAACCGGGCGAUCUAUCCAUGAGCAGGUUGAAGGUUAGGUAACACUGACUGGAGGACCGAACCCACUCCCGUUGAAAAGGUAGGGGAUGACUUGUGGAUCGGAGUGAAAGGCUAAUCAAGCUCGGAGAUAGCUGGUUCUCCUCGAAAGCUAUUUAGGUAGCGCCUCAUGUAUCACUCUGGGGGGUAGAGCACUGUUUCGGCUAGGGGGUCAUCCCGACUUACCAAACCGAUGCAAACUCCGAAUACCCAGAAGUGCCGAGCAUGGGAGACACACGGCGGGUGCUAACGUCCGUCGUGAAAAGGGAAACAACCCAGACCGCCAGCUAAGGUCCCAAAGUUGUGGUUAAGUGGUAAACGAUGUGGGAAGGCUUAGACAGCUAGGAGGUUGGCUUAGAAGCAGCCACCCUUUAAAGAAAGCGUAAUAGCUCACUAGUCGAGUCGGCCUGCGCGGAAGAUGUAACGGGGCUCAAACCACACACCGAAGCUGCGGGUGUCACGUAAGUGACGCGGUAGAGGAGCGUUCUGUAAGCCUGUGAAGGUGAGUUGAGAAGCUUGCUGGAGGUAUCAGAAGUGCGAAUGCUGACAUGAGUAACGACAAUGGGUGUGAAAAACAUCCACGCCGAAAGACCAAGGGUUCCUGCGCAACGUUAAUCGACGCAGGGUUAGUCGGUUCCUAAGGCGAGGCUGAAAAGCGUAGUCGAUGGGAAACAGGUUAAUAUUCCUGUACUUCUGGUUACUGCGAUGGAGGGACGGAGAAGGCUAGGCCAGCUUGGCGUUGGUUGUCCAAGUUUAAGGUGGUAGGCUGAAAUCUUAGGUAAAUCCGGGGUUUCAAGGCCGAGAGCUGAUGACGAGUCGUCUUUUAGAUGACGAAGUGGUUGAUGCCAUGCUUCCAAGAAAAGCUUCUAAGCUUCAGGUAACCAGGAACCGUACCCCAAACCGACACAGGUGGUCGGGUAGAGAAUACCAAGGCGCUUGAGAGAACUCGGGUGAAGGAACUAGGCAAAAUGGCACCGUAACUUCGGGAGAAGGUGCGCCGGCUAGGGUGAAGGAUUUACUCCGUAAGCUCUGGCUGGUCGAAGAUACCAGGCCGCUGCGACUGUUUAUUAAAAACACAGCACUCUGCAAACACGAAAGUGGACGUAUAGGGUGUGACGCCUGCCCGGUGCCGGAAGGUUAAUUGAUGGGGUUAGCGCAAGCGAAGCUCUUGAUCGAAGCCCCGGUAAACGGCGGCCGUAACUAUAACGGUCCUAAGGUAGCGAAAUUCCUUGUCGGGUAAGUUCCGACCUGCACGAAUGGCGUAACGAUGGCGGCGCUGUCUCCACCCGAGACUCAGUGAAAUUGAAAUCGCUGUGAAGAUGCAGUGUAUCCGCGGCUAGACGGAAAGACCCCGUGAACCUUUACUGUAGCUUUGCACUGGACUUUGAGCCUGCUUGUGUAGGAUAGGUGGGAGGCUUUGAAGCGUGGACGCCAGUUCGCGUGGAGCCAUCCUUGAAAUACCACCCUGGCAUGCUUGAGGUUCUAACUCUGGUCCGUAAUCCGGAUCGAGGACAGUGUAUGGUGGGCAGUUUGACUGGGGCGGUCUCCUCCUAAAGAGUAACGGAGGAGUACGAAGGUGCGCUCAGACCGGUCGGAAAUCGGUCGCAGAGUAUAAAGGCAAAAGCGCGCUUGACUGCGAGACAGACACGUCGAGCAGGUACGAAAGUAGGUCUUAGUGAUCCGGUGGUUCUGUAUGGAAGGGCCAUCGCUCAACGGAUAAAAGGUACUCCGGGGAUAACAGGCUGAUACCGCCCAAGAGUUCAUAUCGACGGCGGUGUUUGGCACCUCGAUGUCGGCUCAUCACAUCCUGGGGCUGAAGCCGGUCCCAAGGGUAUGGCUGUUCGCCAUUUAAAGUGGUACGCGAGCUGGGUUUAGAACGUCGUGAGACAGUUCGGUCCCUAUCUGCCGUGGACGUUUGAGAUUUGAGAGGGGCUGCUCCUAGUACGAGAGGACCGGAGUGGACGAACCUCUGGUGUUCCGGUUGUCACGCCAGUGGCAUUG